GAAAUGCGAUAAGUAGUGUGAAUUGCAGAAUUCAGUGAAUCAUCGAAUCUUUGAACGCACAUUGCGCCCUUUGGUAUUCCUUAGGGCAUGCCUGUUCGAGCGUCAUCUAAACCUUCAAGCCCUGCUUGGUGUUGGGUGCCUGUCCCGCCUCCGCGCGCGGACUCACCUCAAAUCCAUUGGCGGCCCCCGCGUCGGCCACGAGCGCAGCAGAAACGCGAACUCGUGAGCCCGUCCGGGCGGCUCCCAGAAGCUACACCCACCCAGUUUGACAUCGGAUCAGGUAGGGAUACCCGCUGAACUUAAGC
RNAcentral lists this unclassified non-coding RNA (305 nucleotides) under plant metagenome. RNAcentral's name for it is "partial contains 5.8S ribosomal RNA, internal transcribed spacer 2, and large subunit ribosomal RNA". The stretch from base 1 to 105 matches the Rfam family "5.8S ribosomal RNA", at positions 50 to 154 of the family's 154-position model. The record is from RNAcentral.